RNAcentral lists this ribosomal RNA (253 nucleotides) under uncultured Blautia sp. RNAcentral's name for it is "partial 16S ribosomal RNA". It matches the Rfam family "Bacterial small subunit ribosomal RNA", at positions 524 to 776 of the family's 1533-position model. The record is from RNAcentral. Lineage: Bacteria; Bacillati; Bacillota; Clostridia; Lachnospirales; Lachnospiraceae.
UACGUAGGGGGCAAGCGUUAUCCGGAUUUACUGGGUGUAAAGGGAGCGUAGACGGCACUGCAAGUCCGGAGUGAAAGCCCAAGGCUUAACCAUGGGACUGCUCUGGAAACUGUGGAGCUUGAGUGCGGGAGAGGCAAGUGGAAUUCCUAGUGUAGCGGUGAAAUGCGUAGAUAUUAGGAGGAACACCAGUGGCGAAGGCGGCUUGCUGGACGAUGACUGACGUUGAGGCUCGAAAGCGUGGGGAGCAAACAGG